AUGUGCUCUUGUGAGGAACACCAUAGCGGAUUUGUAUGGCUUGCAGUGCCAGAGAUACUGCUUUUGUCAGAUAUAUUGCACGGAGGGCUAAUCCAGCAGCACUUUGCUGUGCAUCUAUAUUCCAAGCAUACUCCGUGACAACAUAUGUAAAAAGAACAAGAUUUGAAAUGUAAUAGAUCACUUUUCCUGUGGCAAAUGAACAGAGGUAUAUGAUGCGGUCAA
RNAcentral lists this unclassified non-coding RNA (222 nucleotides) under Hevea brasiliensis (rubber tree). Lineage: Eukaryota; Viridiplantae; Streptophyta; Magnoliopsida; Malpighiales; Euphorbiaceae. The record is from RNAcentral.